CCUACGGGAGGCAGCAGUGGGGGAUAUUGCACAAUGGGGGGAACCCUGAUGCAGCGACGCCGCGUGAGGGAUGAAGGUCUUCGGAUCGUAAACCUCUGUCAGCAGGGAAGAACGGUCACUGUGCUAAUCAGCAGUGAAUUGACGGUACCUGCAAAGGAAGCACCGGCUAACUCCGUGCCAGCAGCCGCGGUAAUACGGAGGGUGCGAGCGUUAAUCGGAAUUACUGGGCGUAAAGCGCUCGUAGGCGGUAUGUCAAGUCAAGGGUGAAAUCCCCGCGCUCAACGUGGGAACUGCCUUUGAAACUGGCAAACUGGAGUGUGUGAGAGGAUAGUGGAAUUCCAGGUGUAGGGGUGAAAUGCGUAGAUAUCUGGAGGAACAUCAGUGGCGAAGGCGACUAUCUGGCACAUAACUGACGCUGAGGAGCGAAAGCGUGGGUAGCAAACAGGAUUAGAUACCCGAGUAGUC
Molecule: ribosomal RNA, 465 nt
Filed under: uncultured bacterium
Lineage: Bacteria
Description: partial 16S ribosomal RNA
Rfam family: Bacterial small subunit ribosomal RNA
Source: RNAcentral